Molecule: ribosomal RNA, 253 nt
Filed under: uncultured bacterium
Lineage: Bacteria
Description: partial 16S ribosomal RNA
Rfam family: Bacterial small subunit ribosomal RNA
Source: RNAcentral
UACGUAGGGCGCAAGCGUUGUCCGGAUUCACUGGGUGUAAAGGGCGCGUAGGCGGCCUGAUAAGUAGGGUGUGAAAUCUUGCGGCUUAACCGCAAGGCUGCCUUCUAAACUGUCGGGCUCGAGCACAGUAGAGGCAGGUGGAAUUCCCGGUGUAGCGGUGGAAUGCGUAGAGAUCGGGAAGAACAUCAGUGGCGAAGGCGGCCUGCUGGGCUGUUGCUGACGCUGAGGCGCGACAGCGUGGGGAGCAAGCAGG